AUCUGUCAAGCAUCCGUUGUCUUCCGCACUACCGGAACGACACAUGGAGAAUCGUCACCCAUCAUGCAGAGGGCAUCCAAGAAUGGCAUGGGUACUCCUCUAGCCGUCUGAAGAAACUCCAUCCCGAGGAUGACUUGGAAAUCAUCCAGCGGCACCGACAUGAAAUUGGCUUUACCUGUCCACGAGCCGAUGCUGACAGGUACCUCCUUCGCAAGACCCGCAAUAGGUUGGGCCUUCGAAUUUACUGCUUUCAUGCGACUCCCAUCCUUGCUCAGUGUAAGUCCAAGACGUUCAGC
This 296-nucleotide long non-coding RNA is filed under the name Ananas comosus (pineapple). Its description in RNAcentral is "long non-coding RNA (ACOM_LNC044576)". Lineage: Eukaryota; Viridiplantae; Streptophyta; Magnoliopsida; Poales; Bromeliaceae. The record is from RNAcentral.